CCUGUCUGUCCUUGCCCAUUUCCCCUUUAGGAUUUCAGUAUAGUCUUUAAGAGUUCCCGUGCUAGUGUAGUGUAGUAGAGAAGUUGGGUGUACACGGUAUCGAAGGCCAGGACACAAGAACUUGGAGAAGAAAGUUGAUUUAUUUCAACUGGCUGGACUCAGCAGACUCCUGUCCUAGUAAAAACCGAGUCCCAAAUAGAAUAUUAGGUUCCCUUUUAUACAUAAAAGAUAUAAAGGUUGGGAGUUAAAUGGUGCAUUUAUGAAAGAAAACGACUUCAGUUAAGUGUUUGUCUGAGUACUAGAUAUGUUUUGAACUAAAGUACCACCCCAUAUUUCAGGUAAUCUUGAAUUAAAAUCUCCCCCACAUUCCAUCUGGAUGAAAUCAUGAAUAUUCAUUCACUCUUACAUCCUUUCUGAACAUUUAAAGACUACAGGGCCUAUAUUACUUAUUCGGAUUUCUAGAGACUAGGUACACUUGGAUAGAAUUGGACGAUUUUGAAUUUACGCACAGGCUAUACUACUAUAAGUUGCAAACAUUUUCUCCAGACUGAGCUGAUUUACUGGGAAAAUACCGCAACUCCUUUGAACAUCUCUGGUGUACUUUCAUCUUCGUAAAUCACCUCAUUUUAGAAAUACCAGUGCCACUUUUACCAAAUAAUACCAUCGUUCGCAUUAACUCGGCCAGACCCGCUAAAUCUCGCUUCAAGGAACACAUUGAAGGUACAACAUGUAUUUUAUCGGAUUCACGAAAACCUCCCGGGAUUCGCCUUCGCCUCCUUUCUGGAUUACCGAGGGGCGCACCACCUCCACCUCCAGAGAACAACAGCUCUUGGUUUCGCCUCCACACUAGUCCAGGUCGGGACCAACCAAAAGGACGAGAAGCUGCACCACAUGACAGACGAAUAUGGCCCCAGCUUCCAAGUUGGUAAAACCGACAAAGUGAAGUUGCAGCGAGGAGAGGUCCCCAACUCGUCAUCACCCGGGGCCGCCGGCUCGCGGAAACAUCUCUGGGUGACCGCUGCAGCCACCACGUGGCCAAUCAGAGCACGGCCCUCGGCCGGACCCCUCCGCCAGGGCAGACGCCGCAGGUAUAGCGGGCAGAGGCGCGAGCGACCACCCGCCGGCGCCGCGCGUGGCCACGCCCCUUCCCGUGAUGCUCGUCGGCUGAACUCCGACCUUCCCCGUGCCCACCCCCUUCCCUGCCCCUGCGUCUGUCAGAUUCGGCAGCUGCAAGCGCGCACUGAGGGGCGCGGGAAGAUGCCGGCCUCGCUGCGGAAGGAAGGCUUCCCCAAGGUGCCUCGAGGCCCUGCGUCGGGGCCGCCGCUCCUGCUCCUUCUCCUCCCCGGGCGGCGCCCAGCCUCGAGCAGCGACUUCGCGGAUUCAAGAUGACCAGUGAAGAACCUCUUCCCAAAAAGGUAUGU
Dasypus novemcinctus (nine-banded armadillo) is the source of this 1421-nucleotide long non-coding RNA. NCBI's taxonomy places the organism in Eukaryota, Metazoa, Chordata, Mammalia, Cingulata, Dasypodidae. The record is from Ensembl.